AGGAUAAACGCUGGCGGCGUGCCUAACACAUGCAAGUCGAACGAGAAAGUGGAGCAAUCCAUGAGUAAAGUGGCGCACGGGUGAGUAACACGUGACUAACCUACCCUUGAGUGGGGGAUAACCUCGGGAAACCGGGGCUAAUACCGCAUAAUAUCGAGAGAUCAAAGGAGCAAUUCGCUUAAGGAGGGGGUCGCGGCUGAUUAGCUAGUUGGUGAGGUAAUGGCUCACCAAGGCUAUGAUCAGUA
RNAcentral lists this ribosomal RNA (245 nucleotides) under uncultured bacterium. RNAcentral describes it as "partial small subunit ribosomal RNA". It matches the Rfam family "Bacterial small subunit ribosomal RNA", at positions 26 to 285 of the family's 1533-position model. The record is from RNAcentral.